GUGGAGAAGCAGGGCACGUGUGAAUUCAUUCGUUCCAUCGACGGUCUGGCGCCGACUCACGCAUCGCCGGCGCGGCGAGCUGAGCGCGUGACACGGAAAGCAGGUCCGCCGCGCCGGCGCCCGCGCUGGCCGAUCGACCGGCUAACUGUAGCUCCACGAAGCAAAGCCAGGCCAGCCGGCCGAUCGAUGCGUGCGUGCAUGUGCCCUUCUUCUCCAUCG
This is a non-coding RNA of Zea mays, 219 nucleotides long. Lineage: Eukaryota; Viridiplantae; Streptophyta; Magnoliopsida; Poales; Poaceae. The record is from RefSeq and is marked provisional.